Molecule: ribosomal RNA, 758 nt
Filed under: Vibrio sp. ACH-07
Lineage: Bacteria; Pseudomonadati; Pseudomonadota; Gammaproteobacteria; Vibrionales; Vibrionaceae
Description: bacterial SSU rRNA
Rfam family: Bacterial small subunit ribosomal RNA
Source: RNAcentral
GGCGGCAGGCCUAACACAUGCAAGUCGAGCGGAAACGACACUAACAAUCCUUCGGGUGCGUUAAUGGGCGUCGAGCGGCGGACGGGUGAGUAAUGCCUAGGAAAUUGCCUUGAUGUGGGGGAUAACCAUUGGAAACGAUGGCUAAUACCGCAUAAUGCCUACGGGCCAAAGAGGGGGACCUUCGGGCCUCUCGCGUCAAGAUAUGCCUAGGUGGGAUUAGCUAGUUGGUGAGGUAAUGGCUCACCAAGGCGACGAUCCCUAGCUGGUCUGAGAGGAUGAUCAGCCACACUGGAACUGAGACACGGUCCAGACUCCUACGGGAGGCAGCAGUGGGGAAUAUUGCACAAUGGGCGAAAGCCUGAUGCAGCCAUGCCGCGUGUAUGAAGAAGGCCUUCGGGUUGUAAAGUACUUUCAGUUGUGAGGAAGGGGGUAGCGUUAAUAGCGCUAUCUCUUGACGUUAGCAACAGAAGAAGCACCGGCUAACUCCGUGCCAGCAGCCGCGGUAAUACGGAGGGUGCGAGCGUUAAUCGGAAUUACUGGGCGUAAAGCGCAUGCAGGUGGUUCAUUAAGUCAGAUGUGAAAGCCCGGGGCUCAACCUCGGAACUGCAUUUGAAACUGGUGAACUAGAGUACUGUAGAGGGGGGUAGAAUUUCAGGUGUAGCGGUGAAAUGCGUAGAGAUCUGAAGGAAUACCAGUGGCGAAGGCGGCCCCCUGGACAGAUACUGACACUCAGAUGCGAAAGCGUGGGGAGCAAACAG